CCUACGGGGGGCUGCAGUGGGGAAUAUUGGACAAUGGGCGAAAGCCUGAUCCAGCCAUGCCGCGUGAGUGAUGACGGCCCUAGGGUUGUAAAGCUCUUUCGCAGGUGAAGAUAAUGACGGUAACCUGAGAAGAAGCCCCGGCUAACUUCGUGCCAGCAGCCGCGGUAAUACGAAGGGGGCUAGCGUUGUUCGGAAUUACUGGGCGUAAAGCGCACGUAGGCGGACUAUUAAGUCAGGGGUGAAAUCCCGGGGCUCAACCCCGGAACUGCCUUUGAUACUGGUAGUCUCGAGUCCGAGAGAGGUGAGUGGAAUUCCGAGUGUAGAGGUGAAAUUCGUAGAUAUUCGGAGGAACACCAGUGGCGAAGGCGGCUCACUGGCUCGGUACUGACGCUGAGGUGCGAAAGCGUGGGGAGCAAACAGGAUUAGAUACCCUAGUAGUC
RNAcentral lists this ribosomal RNA (440 nucleotides) under uncultured Phyllobacteriaceae bacterium. RNAcentral's name for it is "bacterial SSU rRNA". It matches the Rfam family "Bacterial small subunit ribosomal RNA", at positions 338 to 795 of the family's 1533-position model. The record is from RNAcentral. Lineage: Bacteria; Pseudomonadati; Pseudomonadota; Alphaproteobacteria; Hyphomicrobiales; Phyllobacteriaceae.